RNAcentral lists this long non-coding RNA (1166 nucleotides) under Betta splendens (Siamese fighting fish). Its description in RNAcentral is "lncRNA (ENSBSLG00000006405.1)". Lineage: Eukaryota; Metazoa; Chordata; Actinopteri; Anabantiformes; Osphronemidae. The record is from RNAcentral.
AUGUUUCUUCUUCUGACUUACUGGAUUAUUACAGGUAUCACAGCAGAAGAUGUGACAGGGGUUUAUUAUCAGCUGGAAAACAGCUCCGUAUGUCUGCAUGUAAAACACCCUCCACCGCAUUUUGGAGCUCAUUGGCUUCUGCCAGGAACAGGACCAAAAAGGGAUGGUGUUUCUGAAAAGGGCAUGAACUCUACAUUAAAAAACAAAGUGGAUUAUGAUUCUGAAAACAAUUCUUUGUGUAUUAAAAACCUGACCAACGCAGACAGUGGCAUUUAUGAAUUCAAUUUCAUUGACUCGUUUUCUUAUAUAAAUGAGAAGUACAGAAUCAUUGUUCAAGGUCAGGUUCCUAGACCUGUCGUAGUCAUGUCAGAGCUGGACACCAACACGUCUGCUGGGAUGUGCAACAUCUCAGUCAACUGCUCCAUCCGGAGCGAGUGGCUGUGGUCCUUCUGCGACGCCGACGCGUGCAGGACGGCGCAGGCGUCACUGAGCGAGGUCAACAUCAGCAUCAGCAUCGGCAUCAGCAUCACCGGCAACAGGACGGUCGUCUGCAGUGGCAACAACAGAGUCAGCACAAAAAGUGUUUUCAGAAGAAUUCCAUCAACGUGCCACAGUCAUUUUAAGAAGCCUGAACCCAAAGAUCCAGAUCAACAGCUUCUUCUCACAUUAUUAGUUAUAGCAGUUUGCCUUUUUCUACUUGUAUUUAUCGUCUUUAUAACUAAAAAGCUGUUGUUACUGAAGCUUGAUCAGACAUCCACUACUCAUUUAAUUGAGAACCAGCAGGCAGAGUCUCCGACACAACGGGAGCCCCGAGUCUCUACCUCCUCAUCCGUCGCCUAUGAGAACGUAGACGCCAUCCAUCCCAGUGAGACCAGCGGCACGAGAGAGGAGCCCGGCUCCACGCACGGCCCUGCGGUGAACACGGUCUACAGCGUUUUACAGCCGACCAAACGGAAACCUUCUCAGGGGACGGGCGACGACUGCAAAGUUAGCACAGGACCACAGGAAGCGCAGGUGGCAUCAGCUUCACAGGGCGAGCAGCCCCUGCAAGUCGACACAGUGUACAGCAUGCUGCAAAGGCCCCGACAUAAACAGUAGAACAGAAACCUGGGGAAUCAUGGGAACAUUGAUGCAAAAGAAUAAAAAGAUGCUUGAAGAUGAGUUCA